AUUGAACGCUGGCGGCAGGCCUAACACAUGCAAGUCGAGCGGAUGAAGGGAGCUUGCUCCUGGAUUCAGCGGCGGACGGGUGAGUAAUGCCUAGGAAUCUGCCUGGUAGUGGGGGAUAACGUCCGGAAACGGGCGCUAAUACCGCAUACGUCCUGAGGGAGAAAGUGGGGGAUCUUCGGACCUCACGCUAUCAGAUGAGCCUAGGUCGGAUUAGCUAGUUGGUGGGGUAAAGGCCUACCAAGGCGACGAUCCGUAACUGGUCUGAGAGGAUGAUCAGUCACACUGUAACUGAGACACGGUCCAGACUCCUACGGGAGGCAGCAGUGGGGAAUAUUGGACGAUGGACGAAAGCCUGAUCCAGCCAUGCCGCGUGUGUGAAGAAGGUCUUCGGAUUGUAAAGCACUUUAAGUUGGGAGGAAGGGCAGUAAGUUAAUACCUUGCUGUUUUGACGUUACCAACAGAAUAAGCACCGGCUAACUUCGUG
RNAcentral lists this ribosomal RNA (484 nucleotides) under uncultured bacterium. RNAcentral's name for it is "partial 16S ribosomal RNA". It matches the Rfam family "Bacterial small subunit ribosomal RNA", at positions 30 to 507 of the family's 1533-position model. The record is from RNAcentral.